CCUACGGGUGGCAGCAGUGGGGAAUAUUGGGCAAUGGGCGCAAGCCUGACCCAGCAACGCCGCGUGAAGGAAGAAGGCUUUCGGGUUGUAAACUUCUUUUGACAGGGAAGAGCAGAAGACGGUACCUGUCGAAUAAGCCACGGCGGGGUGGGUGCCAGCAGCCGGGGUGAUACGUAGGUGGCAAGCGGUGGGGGGAUGUACUGGGGGUGAAGGGCGUGUAGCCGGGCUGACAAGUCAGAUGUGAAAUCCGGGGGCUCAACCCCCGAACUGCAUUUGAAACUGUUGGUCUUGAGUAUCGGAGAGGCAGGCGGAAUUCCUAGUGUAGCGGUGAAAUGCGUAGAUAUUAGGAGGAACACCAGUGGCGAAGGCGGCCUGCUGGACGACAACUGACGGUGAGGCGCGAAAGCGUGGGGAGCAAACAGGAUUAGAUACCCGAGUAGUC
Molecule: ribosomal RNA, 442 nt
Filed under: uncultured bacterium
Lineage: Bacteria
Description: partial 16S ribosomal RNA
Rfam family: Bacterial small subunit ribosomal RNA
Source: RNAcentral